This 1194-nucleotide ribosomal RNA is filed under the name Triticum aestivum (bread wheat). RNAcentral's name for it is "partial small subunit ribosomal RNA". Lineage: Eukaryota; Viridiplantae; Streptophyta; Magnoliopsida; Poales; Poaceae. The record is from RNAcentral.
AUGCAGCGCGCCGCGGCCUCCCUCGCCUCCUCCCGCUCCGCGGCCUGGGCCUGCUCCACCACCUCGCGCCAUGCCGCCGCCUCGUGCUCUGCCGCCGCCCGCCGCGACGCCGUCGUGCCUCUCCGAAUUCGCGGCCAAGAGCAGCGGCCCGCCGCCCUCCCCAUGUCACUGUCGCUGCUCUCCGGGAGUCGGCCCCCGCGGACGGCAAAAGCGGCGGCCGCGGCCGCGGAGCUGGCCCCGGCGGACGAGGUGGCCGCGGGUGGCGGCAUUGCCGGCACGGUGCAGCUCGGCGCCAUGAUCGUCGCCUGGUACCUCCUCAACAUCUACUUCAACAUCUACAACAAGCAGGUGCUCCAGGUGCUGCCAUUGCCGCUCCCCUACACCAUCACCGCCUUCCAGCUCGCCUUCGGCUCGCUCGUCAUCUUCUUCAUGUGGGCCGCCAAGCUCCACCCCGUGCCCAAGCUCUCCGCCGCACAGCUGGCCAAGAUCGCGCCGCUGGCCGCCGGGCACAUGCUGGGCACGGUGUUCACCAACAUGAGCCUGGGCAAGGUGGCCGUCUCCUUCACGCACACCGUCAAGGCAUCGGAGCCCUUCUUCACCGUGCUGCUCUCCGCCUUCUUCCUCGGCGAGGUGCCGUCGCCGCUGGUGCUGGGCUCGCUGGUGCCGAUCGUCGGCGGCGUCGCCCUGGCGUCGCUGACCGAGGUCUCAUUCAACUGGGUGGGAUUCUGGAGCGCCAUGGCGUCGAAUCUGCUCAACCAGACCAGGAAUGUGCUCAGCAAGAGGCUCCUCGGCGGCGAAGAGGAGGAGUUCAUGGACGACAUAAACCUCUUCUCGGUGAUCACCGUGCUGUCCUUCCUCCUAUCGUUGCCUCUGAUGAUCUUUGCAGAAGGGGUCAGCUUCUCCCCAGCGUUCCUCCAGAGCACGGGCCUGAACCUGCAGGAGCUGUGCGUGAGGGCGGCCCUGGCAGGGCUCUGCUUCCAUGGCUACCAGAAGCUGUCGUACAUGAUCCUGGCGAGGGUGUCGCCCGUGACCCACUCCGUGGCCAACUGCGUCAAGCGUGUGGUGGUCAUCGUCUCCUCCGUCCUCUUCUUCCGGACGCCCAUCUCCCCUGUCAAUGCACUGGGGACUGGAGCGGCACUGGCGGGAGUUUACCUGUACUCCAGGCUCAAGAAAGCAAAGCCAAAGAGCUCAUGA